GGUUUCAUAGUGUAGUGGUCAUCACGUCUGCUUUACACGCAGAAGGUCCUGGGUUCAUUCCCCAGUGAAACCA
Non-coding RNA from Xenopus tropicalis (tropical clawed frog), 73 nucleotides. NCBI's taxonomy places the organism in Eukaryota, Metazoa, Chordata, Amphibia, Anura, Pipidae. The record is from Rfam.